GUCAACACCGUAAACGAUGAUUACUAGAUUUUGGCCUUAUGGUCAGAGUCCAAGCGAAAGUGUUAAGUAAUCCACCUGGGGAGUACGUCCGCAAGGAUGAAACUCAAAGGAAUUGACGGGGCCCGCACAAGCGGUGGAGCAUGUGGUUUAAUUCGAUGAUACGCGAGGAACCUUACCUGGGCUUGAAAGUUAGUGACCGCUCCUGAAAGGGAGCUUUCCGCAAGGACACGAACUAGGUGCUGCAUGGCUGUCGU
This 254-nucleotide ribosomal RNA is filed under the name uncultured bacterium. Its description in RNAcentral is "partial 16S ribosomal RNA". It matches the Rfam family "Bacterial small subunit ribosomal RNA", at positions 793 to 1055 of the family's 1533-position model. The record is from RNAcentral.